AUUGAACGCUGGCGGCAUGCCUUACACAUGCAAGUCGAACGGCAGCACGGGAGCAAUCCUGGUGGCGAGUGGCGAACGGGUGAGUAAUAUAUCGGAACGUGCCCGGUCGUGGGGAUAACGUAGCGAAAGCUACGCUAAUACCGCAUACGAUCUACGGAUGAAAGCGGGGGAUCGCAAGACCUCGCGCGAUUGGAGCGGCCGAUAUCAGAUUAGGUAGUUGGUGAGGUAAAGGGCUCACCAAGCCGACGAUCUGUAGCUGGUCUGAGAGGACGACCAGCCACACUGGGACUGAGACACGGCCCAGGACUCCUACGGGAGGCAGCAGUGGGGAAUUUUGGACAAUGGGCGCAAGCCUGAUCCAGCAAUGCCGCGUGCAGGAUGAAGGC
Molecule: ribosomal RNA, 386 nt
Filed under: uncultured bacterium
Lineage: Bacteria
Description: bacterial SSU rRNA
Rfam family: Bacterial small subunit ribosomal RNA
Source: RNAcentral